RNAcentral lists this ribosomal RNA (253 nucleotides) under uncultured bacterium. Its description in RNAcentral is "partial 16S ribosomal RNA". It matches the Rfam family "Bacterial small subunit ribosomal RNA", at positions 524 to 776 of the family's 1533-position model. The record is from RNAcentral.
UACGGGGGGGGUAAGCGUUGUUCGGAAUUACUGGGCGUAAAGGGCUCGUAGGCGGUCUGUCACGUCGGGAGUGAAAACUCAGGGCUUAACCCUGAGCCUGCUUCCGAUACGGGCAGACUAGAGGUAUGCAGGGGAGAACGGAAUUCCUGGUGUAGCGGUGAAAUGCGCAGAUAUCAGGAGGAACACCGGUGGCGAAGGCGGUUCUCUGGGCAUUACCUGACGCUGAGGAGCGAAAGUGUGGGGAGCGAACAGG